This 446-nucleotide ribosomal RNA is filed under the name uncultured bacterium. RNAcentral's name for it is "partial 16S ribosomal RNA". It matches the Rfam family "Bacterial small subunit ribosomal RNA", at positions 329 to 792 of the family's 1533-position model. The record is from RNAcentral.
UGCCAGACUCCUACGGGAGGCAGCAGUGGGGAAUAUUGCACAAUGGGGGAAACCCUGAUGCAGCGACGCCGCGUGGGCGACGAAGCGCUCCGGCGCGUAAAGCCCUGUCAGCAGGGAAGAACAAAGACAGUACCUGACCAAGAAGCCACGGCUAGCUACGUGCCAGCAGCCGCGGUAAUACGUAGGUGGCAAGCGUUAUCCGGAAUGAUUGGGCGUAAAGGGUGCGCAGGCGGAACCAUAAGUCUGAAGUAAAAGCCAUCGGCUCAACCGAUGUAAGCUUUGGAAACUGUGGAUCUAGAGUGCAGGAGAGGACAGUGGAAUUCCAUGUGUAGCGGUAAAAUGCGUAGAUAUAUGGAGGAACACCAGUGGCGAAGGCGGCUGUCUGGCCUGUAACUGACGCUGAGGCACGAAAGCGUGGGGAGCAAAUAGGAUUAGAUACCCCAGUA